This 449-nucleotide ribosomal RNA is filed under the name uncultured bacterium. Its description in RNAcentral is "partial 16S ribosomal RNA". It matches the Rfam family "Bacterial small subunit ribosomal RNA", at positions 29 to 523 of the family's 1533-position model. The record is from RNAcentral.
AGCGAACGCUGGCGGCAGGCCUAACACAUGCAAGUCGAACGAAGUCUUCGGACUUAGUGGCGGACGGGUGAGUAACACGUGGGAACGUACCUUUUGGUUCGGAACAACUCAGGGAAACUUGGGCUAAUACCGGAUGAGCCCUUAGGGGGAAAGAUUUAUCGCCGAAAGAGCGGCCCGCGUUAGAGUAGCUAGUUGGUGAGGUAAAGGCUCACCAAGGCUACGAUCUAUAGCUGGUCUGAGAGGAUGAUCAGCCACACUGGGACUGGGACACGGCCCAGACUCCUACGGGAGGCAGCAGUGGGGAAUCUUGCGCAAUGGGCGAAAGCCUGACGCAGCCAUGCCGCGUGAAUGAUGAAGGUCUUAGGAGUGUAAAAUUCUUUUACCAGGGACGAUGAUGACGGUACCUGGAGAAAAAGCCCCGGCUAACUUCGUGCCAGCCGCCGCCGUAA